This 116-nucleotide ribosomal RNA is filed under the name Nelumbo nucifera (sacred lotus). The record is from RNAcentral. Lineage: Eukaryota; Viridiplantae; Streptophyta; Magnoliopsida; Proteales; Nelumbonaceae.
GUAUGCCUCAAAACAGAAAGAAAGAAAGAAAACAAAAGAACUUCGAAGUUAAGCAUGCUUGGGUGAGAGUAGUACUAGGAUGGGUGACCUUYUGGGAAGUCCUCGUGUUGCAUGCC